CUCUUAACGGGGGAUCACUUGG
This 22-nucleotide ribosomal RNA is filed under the name Penaeus indicus. RNAcentral describes it as "partial 5.8S ribosomal RNA". The record is from RNAcentral. Lineage: Eukaryota; Metazoa; Arthropoda; Malacostraca; Decapoda; Penaeidae.